GGCCGAAUAAUUCAGACAAAGCAUUUUUAGCAUUUCACAGCCAGCAUCUCCAGUGACGGCAAUGUUGGUAGAUGCUGUUUUCAAGCUUUCCAGUCUGAGGCCCCAUCUUAAAAAGGGGUUAGCUGAGAAACUGGUCCGCUGGCAGCGCAGGAGGUCUGGUCAUCUGGAGGUGGUGGAUAGUACUGUUGGGGGACCAGCGGAUGUGUCUGCCCCCUGUCCCCUCUCCCUCCACUGUGCAAUGAGCUGCCUGACAGGGUGGCUGAUGCAAAAAGUGCGGAGGUCUCAGGGCCAUGGGUGCUUCACGAGGGGGCUGCUUUCCAGAGCAUCGCGAGGCUGGGCCUGUGGGCCAGAAGCAUCACGUGGAGGGUCAAGUUCAGAACUACCGCAAGGAUGCUGAGAGAUCGCAUCUGAGGAGUGAUUCACGGGUGACAACGGGAGCACAAGGAGCCGACUCUGGUGCGGGAUGGUGGAGAACCAGACGGACCAGGUCCCAGGAGGCCAGGGAGCUCUUGGGCCAUGUGUGUGCCUGUGCAGUGUGGGGGACCACUGGCCUUUCACAUGACUGUGGGAGGGCUGGAGGUGGGAUGGCAAGGAGAAUGCAGGCAGGAUAACAAAGAAGGCUCUGAGCCUUUCAAAAAAUAGGGAAGUGCGGCCAGAUGGCCUGCCCACGCUGAGGGACGUUUAGGAAGCGCUCUGUGUGAAGGAGGUGGACUUUUAGUCUUGAGAGAUCCCAGCCGGUUCUCCCAGCAGCACCCAUGUGACUGAGCCUCAGAAAUGGGGGAUGAUGGCAGUCGGUGGUGGGUGAGUCACCGUGCUUUGUGUGGCUGGGAGCCAGUGCUGAGCCCACUGGUGGAGGCAUGAGGUUUGGGUGCAACCUUCAUUCUCAGGGUCCUGAGGCUGACCCAGCCUGUCGCUGAUGAGUCAUGCAGUGGAACAACGACCUUCCUCAAGUGGCAACUAGUAGGAGCUUCCCUCUGUUCCCUGACUCGAGAAAGAAAGGCUCGGAAGCUGGUCCAUGUGCUGCAGAAGGUUCUCACCACCUUCAGGCUGCGACGUCUGCCCUGGUCACUGGCUCCCUUCCUGGCAGAUGGCGAGCUCCACCGCUCAGAGGACCUGCUGGCGGCUGAGUCUUAGCAGAGUGUGGGUCCUCAACGCCUUCCCUGCCUCGUCUCCCUGAAGGAGAAGCUCUUGCUAAAGGAUUUUGCUGCCUCCCUUGGCAUUCGGUGCCCCCUUGAUUAUUUUCAAGUCAAGCACUUUUUCAGCUGUGAGCGCGUAUGCAGAUC
Molecule: long non-coding RNA, 1283 nt
Filed under: Equus caballus (horse)
Lineage: Eukaryota; Metazoa; Chordata; Mammalia; Perissodactyla; Equidae
Description: lncRNA (ENSECAG00000049851.1)
Source: RNAcentral